RNAcentral lists this ribosomal RNA (468 nucleotides) under uncultured bacterium. RNAcentral describes it as "partial 16S ribosomal RNA". It matches the Rfam family "Bacterial small subunit ribosomal RNA", at positions 28 to 507 of the family's 1533-position model. The record is from RNAcentral.
GACGAACGCUGGCGGCGUGCUUAACACAUGCAAGUCGAACGGAAAGGCCCUGCUUUUGUGGGGUGCUCGAGUGGCGAACGGGUGAGUAACACGUGAGUAACCUGCCCUUGACUUUGGGAUAACUUCAGGAAACUGGGGCUAAUACCGGAUAGGAGCUCCUGCUGCAUGGUGGGGGUUGGAAAGUUUCGGCGGUUGGGGAUGGACUCGCGGCUUAUCAGCUUGUUGGUGGGGUAGUGGCUUACCAAGGCUUUGACGGGUAGCCGGCCUGAGAGGGUGACCGGGGGAAGUGGGACUGAGGCAAGGACGGGAGGGCGACGGGCGGCCGAAGGGGGGGAGAGUGAGGACUGGGGGGGAUCCGGACGCGGAGACGGCGGGUGGGGGAGGGUGGCCUUCGGGAGGGAGACAGCUUUCACCGGGGACCAAGGGACAGUGACGGGAGUUGAUGAUGAAGCACCCGCCAACCUCGUG